This is a long non-coding RNA of Pteropus alecto (black flying fox), 2265 nucleotides long. RefSeq lists it as uncharacterized. The transcript has 3 exons. Lineage: Eukaryota; Metazoa; Chordata; Mammalia; Chiroptera; Pteropodidae. The record is from RefSeq and is a predicted model, not a curated record.
GGGGGCAGCUGUUUCCAGCUGCGAAGAGAAAGACUCCCCGCCAGCAACGCUGCAAAGAGAGCAGGAGGCGAGGGAGGAGGGAAGGAAAGAGGAAUAGGGAAGAAAGGGGGGAGGGAGGGAGAUCCUCGAGGGCUAAGCACCCCUCAGGGAGAAACCGCGGGAGGUGAGCGCUGGGGAUACACGGGGUCCCAAGAGCGGGCGCUCUUUCUCUUCCCGCUUGCUUUCUGGCACGAGACGGGCACAGUUGGUGAUUAUUUAGGGAAUCCUAAAUCUGGAAUGACUCAGUAGUUUAAAUAAGCCCCCUCAAAAGGCAGCGAUGCCGAAGGUGUCCUCUCCAGCUCGGCGCCCACACGUCUUUAUCUGGAGCUCCCCACCAUGGUCCGCCCGGGGCCGCCGCACCGAGCCUAUCUCCGCACAGGCUCAGAGGGAGCGAAGGAAGGAGGGGGCACCCUGGCGGGCUACGGAUCAGGUCAUCGCUGCGCUGCCCCAGCUCCCCAGGUUCGCGCCGCCCGGCAGUCGACAGCUCACAGGCAGCAGAUCAGAUGGGGAUUACCGCUGGACGCAAGGCCGAUCACUUAGUCCCGCGCGGCCCAUCCCGGCCGAGGAAGGAAGUGACCAGCGCGCUGCGAACACCGCGCGUCCGCUCGGGCGGGGCGGGGGUAGGCUGUGGGCGACGUCGGCUCGAGGUGGCUGCGGCUCAAUGCUGGAGCUGCCCACCAUGGUCUGGCGCCGGGGGCGCAGUUGGGGCCCCUAGGCCACCCCAGGCGAUGGAGGCAGGUGGCCCAGAGCGCAACCCAGGCCUCGGGGCUGGACGCAGACUCUGGGGCCAGGGCCAAGAGGCAGAUGCGGGCUGCCGCCAACUCGCCCAACUUGCUGUGCGGGUGGCCGUUCAGAGCCUCGUGCUAGCAGGGCGCCCCCUGCCGCAGCGCCUUUGCAGCCCCUGGCCCUGGAAGGGGCUCUCAGGGCCGAGUCCCAUUCAUGGGCUCAGACUCUGGGAGCGCGGAGCCAUACCGGCUCCUGGGCGCCACUGCCUCCUCCCAGCCAGCUCGCCCGGCUGGAGCGCUAGCUCCGCAGGAAACUCCAGGUAGUGCUGCUUGCAAAACAUCUGGUGCAGCAUGCCAAGAAAACAUGGGAGCUGAAAGGCGAGACACUAAUCUUGCCUCAGGAUCUUCUCCAGGAGAUACCUGAUGUUGCCUGUCAGCCCUAAGCUACAAUGGAGUCAAACCCCUUUCCUCAAGCACCAAACAUCAUUUUGAAGAAAACUUGUAAGCCAGAGAAAUGAAGGAAUAGACAAUGACAUGCAUUAUCUUGAGGACUCCAACACAAAUGGGGGCUGAAUGGGGAAAUUGCGUGGAUCUCUCUAACAAAGGCAAAUACUGCCUUUACCACCCACAAUGAAACUCAGAGACAAGCUUUCUACUUACAGAGAAAUCAAGAGUCUGGAUAGAGAAACCUUGGCAGCACCUAUAAGCAGUGAGUAGUAGGGGAAACUUUUCAAUAUAAGGUUUGUAUCAGGUUGAUUUUCUUAAAAGUCAAAAGAGAAAGGAGCUGAUUACAUCUUAGCUAAAGGGGAGAAGCAAAAUAGCUUGGUUCCCUGAUGGUAAAGCUCCAUUAAAAAGAAAAAGUAUGAAGGACAAUUUUAAAAGUGUAUACCACUUUAUUCCUAUAUUUCUAUUGUGACUAUGUCUGGAAAACAAAUGAAAAAGAAGACACUGUAUAUACACCAUUCUACCUCCUAUAGUCAAAAAUGACAGGGGAAAGUGACAAAUCAGUUCAAAAUACAAAACCUGCUGAAAGGAAAACAAAUCUGCUAGAAUCACAGAACCCGGGGUUGGGAAGCCACACUGUCCAACUCCUCAGCAAAUAAAAAGCAUUCCUUGAAAAUCCUCACUGAUGGACCAUCACAACCAGCCUAAGACCUCUCCAUCUUUGGUCAGCUAUGGCUUAUAAAUAUGUCCUUGUAAUACUGAGAAAGUGGAUCUCCCUUAGCCCUAGUUCCACCAUUUGGGUGACUCAGAAUUAUUCUAGCACCUCUUUCACAGGGCUGCCUUUCAGAUUUUUGCAGAGAGCAAUGUUAUCCUUUCUGUUUCUUCUUGUCUCUGUUAACCAAAAUUUCUUAGUUCCUUCAGCAGUUCCUCAGAGAAUCAAUCUGGCCUCUCCCAACUGAAUGCACUCUGGUUUUAAAUACCUUUCUUAAUUUUAACAUCUCUAUCACCUCUAAAUAGGUUAGGCCUGAGUCCCAGUUAAUUUCAACUCAUUAAAAAA